This is a long non-coding RNA of Siniperca chuatsi (mandarin fish), 510 nucleotides long. RefSeq lists it as uncharacterized. NCBI's taxonomy places the organism in Eukaryota, Metazoa, Chordata, Actinopteri, Centrarchiformes, Sinipercidae. The transcript is spliced from 3 exons. The record is from RefSeq and is a predicted model, not a curated record.
AGUCUAACCUGAGAUGACAUCUACUGUAUUGAUCUAAUCAGUUGAACGUCUGCCCAGCUUUAAUCAGGUGGUGCUAGAUUAAACCUGCAAUAAUUGUUUUGGCCACUUGGGGGCAGCGGAAACAAGUUGUGAACACCACAUUGACAUACCAUCACCUUUUAAUUUGAUAUGGCGAACUUGUUGAUUUACAUGCCCAGCAGUUAGAGAGCAACGCUAUUACUCAUUUAGAAUCGUGUUCGUGGCCACCUGAUGUAUUGAGUCAGUAGUGGGUGGCUGCCAACUAAAAUCUAUAUCACAAUCAUUGCUGGAUGAUCGUGGCCCUGAGUCAGUUGAUGGUUUGCUCUCUGGCGCUGGAGUGGAACCAUGAAAAGGACCUCCGCUACUCCUGACGACCUUAUGGAGGAGUGGGAGCCUUUGUUGCUCGCCCCUGCAGACGCUGUUUUCCGAGGUUUUGGGAUUGGCCUGUUGCUGUUGCUGCUGCUGUGUCUGACAACGCAGUAUCCCUCAGUU